This 498-nucleotide ribosomal RNA is filed under the name uncultured bacterium. RNAcentral's name for it is "partial 16S ribosomal RNA". It matches the Rfam family "Bacterial small subunit ribosomal RNA", at positions 27 to 507 of the family's 1533-position model. The record is from RNAcentral.
GGAUGAACGCUGGCGGCGUGCCUAAUACAUGCAAGUCGAGCGAACAGACGAGGAGCUUGCUCCUCUGACGUUAGCGGCGGACGGGUGAGUAACACGUGGAUAACCUACCUAUAAGACUGGGAUAACUUCGGGAAACCGGAGCUAAUACCGGAUAAUAUAUUGAACCGCAUGGUUCAAUAGUCAAAGACGGUUUUGCUGUCACUUAUAGAUGGAUCCGCGCCGCAUUAGCUAGUUGGUAAGGUAACGGCUUACCAAGGCAACGAUGCGUAGCCGACCUGAGAGGGUGAUCGGCCACACUGGAACUGAGACACGGUCCAGACUCCUACGGGAGGCAGCAGUAGGGAAUCUUCCGCAAUGGGCGAAAGCCUGACGGAGCAACGCCGCGUGAGUGAUGAAGGUCUUCGGAUCGUAAAACUCUGUUAUUAGGGAAGAACAAAUGUGUAAGUAACUAUGCACGUCUUGACGGUACCUAAUCAGAAAGCCACGGCUAACUACGUG